RNAcentral lists this ribosomal RNA (426 nucleotides) under uncultured bacterium. RNAcentral's name for it is "bacterial SSU rRNA". It matches the Rfam family "Bacterial small subunit ribosomal RNA", at positions 355 to 773 of the family's 1533-position model. The record is from RNAcentral.
UGGGGAAUUUUGGACAAUGGGCGCAAGCCUGAUCCAGCCAUGCCGCGUGCGGGAAGAAGGCCUUCGGGUUGUAAACCGCUUUUGUCAGGGAAGAAAUCCUUUGAGCUAAUACCUCUGGGGGAUGACUGUACCUGAAGCAUAAGCACCGGCUAACUACGUGCCAGCAGCCGCGGUAAUACGUAGGGUGCCAGCGUUAAUCGGAAUUACUCGGCGUAAAGCGUGCGCAGGCGGUUAUGUAAGACAGAGGUGAAAUCCCCGGGCUCAACCUGGAAACUGCCUUUGUGACUGCAUAGCAAGAGUACGGUAGAGGGGGAUGGAAUUCCGCGUGUAGCAGUGAAAUGCGUAGAUAUGCGGAGGAACACCGAUGGCGAAGGCAAUCCCCUGGACCUGUACUGACGCUCAUGCACGAAAGCGUGGGGAGCAAAC